Anguilla rostrata (American eel) is the source of this 173-nucleotide small nucleolar RNA. RefSeq annotates it as small nucleolar RNA SNORA81. The transcript has a single exon. The record is from RefSeq and is a predicted model, not a curated record. Lineage: Eukaryota; Metazoa; Chordata; Actinopteri; Anguilliformes; Anguillidae.
UUCUUCUGCGUUAAAGAACCAUGGUAAAAUUUCCUAAAUCAAGUCUUGGUUUAUGAAAUAAUGCUAGCAAGGUAGUAGGUGGAGGUAGAAUAUUUAGUACUGCACUGCAGAUGAAAUUUGGGCGGACCUCUUAAUGUCCGGUGUCCUGUGUCUCAAAGUCUAGUGCCACAAAU